GUUUCCGUAGUGUAGUGGUUAUCACACUCACCUAACACGUGAAAGGUCCCCGGUUCGAAACCGGGAGGAAACA
RNAcentral lists this transfer RNA (73 nucleotides) under Loxodonta africana (African savanna elephant). RNAcentral describes it as "tRNA-Val (AAC) (tRNA-Val-AAC-23-1)". It matches the Rfam family "tRNA". From Rfam's summary of the family: Transfer RNA (tRNA) molecules are approximately 80 nucleotides in length. Lineage: Eukaryota; Metazoa; Chordata; Mammalia; Proboscidea; Elephantidae. The record is from Rfam by way of RNAcentral.